UUUCCGUAGGUGAACCUGCGGAAGGAUCAUUACCGAGUGAGGGCCCUCUGGGUCCAACCUCCCACCCGUGUUUUUCGUACCUUGUUGCUUCGGCGGGCCCGCCGCACGGCCGCCGGGGCGCUACUGCCCACUGGUCCGCGCCCGCCGUAGACACCAUUGAACGCUGUCUGAAGAUUGCAGUCUGCGCAAUUAGCUAAAUAAGUUAAAACUUUCAACAACGGAUCUCUUGGUUCCG
This 235-nucleotide unclassified non-coding RNA is filed under the name plant metagenome. RNAcentral's name for it is "partial contains small subunit ribosomal RNA, internal transcribed spacer 1, and 5.8S ribosomal RNA". The record is from RNAcentral.